This 428-nucleotide ribosomal RNA is filed under the name uncultured prokaryote. RNAcentral's name for it is "bacterial SSU rRNA". It matches the Rfam family "Bacterial small subunit ribosomal RNA", at positions 355 to 774 of the family's 1533-position model. The record is from RNAcentral.
UCGAGAAUCUUCCGCAAUGCGCGAAAGCGUGACGGAGCAAUGCCGCGUGGGUGAUGAAGGUCUUCGGAUUGUAAAGCCCUGUCGUCAGGGAAGAAGGUGCAGGACAGGAAAUGGUUUUGCGCUUGACGGUACCUGGAGAGGAAGCCCCGGCUAACUCCGUGCCAGCAGCCGCGGUAAUACGGAGGGUGCAAGCGUUAUUCGGAAUUACUGGGCGUAAAGGGCGUGCAGGCGGGAGAGCAAGUCUGAUGUGAAAGCCCGGGGCUUAACCCCGGAAGGGCAUUGGAAACUGCUUUUCUUGAGUUCUGGAGAGGAAGGGAGAAUUCCCGGUGUAGAGGUGAAAUUCGUAGAGAUCGGGAGGAACAUCAGUGGCGAAGGCGCCCUUCUGGACAGCAACUGACGCUGAGACGCGAAAGCGUGGGGAGCAAACA